RNAcentral lists this ribosomal RNA (266 nucleotides) under Rhizophagus fasciculatus. The record is from RNAcentral. Lineage: Eukaryota; Fungi; Glomeromycota; Glomeromycetes; Glomerales; Glomeraceae.
CAGUCGUACCGGCGGAUAAUCAGCCUUUCGGGUGCGAUUCUGUGGGGCGUGAGGAGCUUAACCGCCUUCAUGUUUUGCAUAUUCGUGCACAUCUGGUGUACUUGUCCGUGUAGUGGGUUAACAUCAAUUUCGGUCGUCAUAAAAUGAUUGGAGGAAUGUAGCUUUGGUCUCGUAUCGAAGUGUUAUAGACUCUGGUAGAUGUGACGUAGUUGGGAUUUGAGGAUUGCAACGGAUACCCCGUUCGGGGGCUACCCGGUCUGAUCUCU